This 502-nucleotide ribosomal RNA is filed under the name uncultured Sphingobacteriales bacterium. RNAcentral's name for it is "bacterial SSU rRNA". It matches the Rfam family "Bacterial small subunit ribosomal RNA", at positions 903 to 1382 of the family's 1533-position model. Lineage: Bacteria; Pseudomonadati; Bacteroidota; Sphingobacteriia; Sphingobacteriales. The record is from RNAcentral.
CCUUGCCAGCCCGCUCAGAACUCAAAGGGAAUUGACGGGGCCCGCACAAGCGGAGGAGCAUGUGGUUUAAUUCGAUGAUACGCGAGGAACCUUACCUGGGCUCGAACGUAAGAUGACUGUAGGUGAAAGCUUACAUCUCUUCGGAGCAUUUUACGAGGUGCUGCAUGGUUGUCGUCAGCUCGUGCCGUGAGGUGUCGGGUUAAGUCCCAUAACGAGCGCAACCCCUACCUUUAGUUGCCAUCAGGUAAUGCUGGGGACUCUAAAGGAACUGCCUACGCAAGUAGUGAGGAAGGCGGGGAUGACGUCAAAUCAGCACGGCCCUUACGUCCAGGGCUACACACGUGCUACAAUGGCCGAUACAGAGGGCAGCUACCUGGUGACAGGAUGCAAAUCUCCAAAGUCGGUCUCAGUUCGGAUCGGAGUCUGCAACCCGACUCCGUGAAGUUGGAUUCGCUAGUAAUCGCGCAUCAGCCAUGGCGCGGUGAAUACGUUCCCGGGCCUU